Molecule: ribosomal RNA, 504 nt
Filed under: Triticum aestivum (bread wheat)
Lineage: Eukaryota; Viridiplantae; Streptophyta; Magnoliopsida; Poales; Poaceae
Description: partial small subunit ribosomal RNA
Source: RNAcentral
AAGAAGUUUGCGGCCUCCAUGUCCAAGAAUUUUGAAAUGUCACUCAAUGCGGAUUUGAAGUUCUUUCUCGGAUUCCAAAUUCAACAAUUUAAAAAAGGAACUUUCUUGUCUCAAGCUAAAUAUCUCAAGGAUAUCCUAGAGAAGUUUGGCAUGUAUGAUGCUAGUCCAUGUAAGACACCCAUGCCAACCAAAAGUGUACUCACUGAAAACACAAAUGGUAUCCCUUUUGACCCAUCUAUUUACCGCUAUAUGAUUGGUUCAUUGCUUUAUCUUUGUGCAUCUAGACCAGACAUCAUGUUUAGUGUAUGCAUGUGUGCUAGAUUUCAAGCUUCCCCUAGGGAAAGUCAUCAUAAGGCGGUUAAGAAUAUUCUUAGAUACUUUGUUCACUCCCCAAAGUUGGGUCUAUGGUACCACAAGGAUGCUAAGUUUGAUCUUAUUGGGUACACGGAUGCGGAUUGGGAUGGAGACAAAGUGGAUCGUAAGUCCACCUCUAGUGCAUGUCAA